UGGAUUCUGAGAUGACUGAGUGGCGGACGGGUGAGUAACACGUGGAUAACCUGCCUCACACUGGGGGACAACAGUUAGAAAUGACUGCUAAUACCGCAUAAGCGCACAGUACCGCAUGGUACAGUGUGAAAAACUCCGGUGGUGUGAGAUGGACCCGCGUCUGAUUAGCUUGUUGGCAGGGUAACGGCCUACCAAGGCAACGAUCAGUAGCCGACCUGAGAGGGUGACCGGCCACAUUGGUACUGAGACACGGACCAAACUCC
This 263-nucleotide ribosomal RNA is filed under the name uncultured Lachnospiraceae bacterium. RNAcentral describes it as "partial 16S ribosomal RNA". It matches the Rfam family "Bacterial small subunit ribosomal RNA", at positions 76 to 339 of the family's 1533-position model. Lineage: Bacteria; Bacillati; Bacillota; Clostridia; Lachnospirales; Lachnospiraceae. The record is from RNAcentral.